RNAcentral lists this ribosomal RNA (468 nucleotides) under uncultured bacterium. RNAcentral describes it as "partial 16S ribosomal RNA". It matches the Rfam family "Bacterial small subunit ribosomal RNA", at positions 28 to 507 of the family's 1533-position model. The record is from RNAcentral.
GACGAACGCUGGCGGCGUGCUUAACACAUGCAAGUCGAACGGAAAGGCCCUGCUUUUGUGGGGUGCUCGAGUGGCGAACGGGUGAGUAACACGUGAGUAACCUGCCCUUGACUUUGGGAUAACUUCAGGAAACUGGGGCUAAUACCGGAUAGGAGCUCCUGCUGCAUGGUGGUGGUUGGAAAGUUUCGGCGGUUGGGGAUGGACUCGCGGCUUAUCAGCUUGUUGGUGGGGUAGUGGCUUACCAAGGCUUUGACGGGUAGCCGGCCUGAGAGGGUGACCGGCCACAUUGGGACUGAGAUACGGCGCAGACUCCUACGGGACGCAGCAGUGGGGAAUAUUGCACAGUGGGCGGAAGCCUGAGGCAGCAACGCCGCGUGCGGGAUGACGGCCUACGGGUUGUAAACCGAUUUCGCCUGUGACGAAGCGUGAGUGACGGUAAUGGGUAAAGAAGCACCGGCUAACUACGUG